RNAcentral lists this long non-coding RNA (819 nucleotides) under Mytilus galloprovincialis (Mediterranean mussel). Lineage: Eukaryota; Metazoa; Mollusca; Bivalvia; Mytilida; Mytilidae. The record is from RNAcentral.
UGUGUCAUUUUGGUCUCUUGUGGACAGUUGUCUCAUUGGCAAUAAUACCACAUUUUCUUUUUUAUACAUACAUUACAUCUGUGAUAUUUUGUUUAAGUCCAAGACGCAAAUGCAAGUUGUGCUUCCAGUUGUAAAUACCAAUGGACGGCCAGACGCUGUAGAUAAAAUUGGCAGUCAGAUAUGUAUGGUCCUGUGACUGAAGAUGUCACAGUUGUGCCAGUGAGCGUACCAUAAAAUUCUCUGAAAAUGAAGGAUCUGUUAAAAUUACUAGUAAAACAUCUAUCAAUUAUGUAGUUUUGACUGCCUGCUUUACAUUGGUAAAUAUUUUGGCAUACAUCAGUUUGUAGGUUUUUAGAAUUAUGUUGAUUUCAACAUGUUAAAUUCAUCACACCAUGUCAGUAAAAUCUAUCAUGAACAGAUGUGACAAUAUUCUUGACAUGGUAAAAGAGAGAAUGGCUGACAGUAAAAGGCUAUGAUUUCUACUUCGACAUCCUAAAUGUUAUGAUUUUGAAAUUCUAUUAAUUCCUCCAUUUUGUUAUUUAUUCUAUUUUAUCUUCUUACCAUCUGAGAUGCAAGCACAGACAAAAGACCAUGAGAACACUGACCAAUCACAGGAUAUGCAGAAAGGUGAAAUCGAGCUAAGUGAAAUUGUGAUUUAAAGAGGCGGAUUUAUGGAGAGACGUUGAUAUAUGUUUGGAAUAAUAUUCUGAUCGGACGUUUGUUAAUAUUCUGUUCUCUUCCGUUUAACUUGUAUUAUAUAUCUAAGAUAUCUGAAAAUGUUUCUGCUACACAAAUUCUUAAUAAAGGUUUUAAUUAAAU